UUUUAUUUGAGAGUUUGAUCCUGGCUCAGGAUGAACGCUGGCGGCGUGCCUAACACAUGCAAGUUGAGCGAUUUACUUCGGUAAAGAGCGGCGGACGGGUGAGUAACGCGUGGGUAACCUACCCUGUACACACGGAUAACAUACCGAAAGGUAUGCUAAUACGGGAUAAUAUAUUUGAGAGGCAUCUCUUGAAUAUCAAAGGUGAGCCAGUACAGGAUGGACCCGCGUCUGAUUAGCUAGUUGGUAAGGUAACGGCUUACCAAGGCGACGAUCAGUAGCCGACCUGAGAGGGUGAUCGGCCACAUUGGAACUGAGACACGGUCCAAACUCCUACGGGAGGCAGCAGUGGGGAAUAUUGCACAAUGGGCGAAAGCCUGAUGCAGCAACGCCGCGUGAGUGAUGAAGGCCUUCGGGUCGUAAAACUCUGUCCUCAAGGAAGAUAAUGACGGUACUUGAGGAGGAAGCCCCGGCUAACUACGUGCCAGCAGCCGCGGUAAUACGUAGGGGGCUAGCGUUAUCCGGAUUUACUGGGCGUAAAGGGUGCGUAGGCGGUCUUUCAAGUCAGGAGUGAAAGGCUACGGCUCAACCGUAGUAAGCUCUUGAAACUGGGAGACUUGAGUGCAGGAGAGGAGAGUGGAAUUCCUAGUGUAGCGGUGAAAUGCGUAGAUAUUAGGAGGAACACCAGUUGCGAAGGCGGCUCUCUGGACUGUAACUGACGCUGAGGCACGAAAGCGUGGGGAGCAAACAGGAUUAGAUACCCUGGUAGUCCACGCUGUAAACGAUGAGUAC
RNAcentral lists this ribosomal RNA (789 nucleotides) under Clostridioides difficile. RNAcentral describes it as "bacterial SSU rRNA". It matches the Rfam family "Bacterial small subunit ribosomal RNA", at positions 1 to 816 of the family's 1533-position model. The record is from RNAcentral. Lineage: Bacteria; Bacillati; Bacillota; Clostridia; Peptostreptococcales; Peptostreptococcaceae.